CAAAUGCACUAACCUAAACGAUGGUUGGAAAGCUUGGCUUUCCUUGGUUGGACUGAAAGUCAGUCCUCAGAGAAUUCAACAUAAUAAUCUAAAACCAUUUAUAUAAAAUACAUAGGUUUCUCGCAGAAGGUAUUCAAAGGUUUUGAGACGAUGCAAAUAUUCAACUUUAGAAUAUGAAUAAAUAUCUUUAACCAAUGAAUUCAAAAUAUCCAUAUCUAUACAAUUUAACAAAUAUGUACUGAAUAAGCU
RNAcentral lists this long non-coding RNA (249 nucleotides) under Mytilus galloprovincialis (Mediterranean mussel). Lineage: Eukaryota; Metazoa; Mollusca; Bivalvia; Mytilida; Mytilidae. The record is from RNAcentral.